RNAcentral lists this ribosomal RNA (253 nucleotides) under uncultured bacterium. RNAcentral describes it as "partial 16S ribosomal RNA". It matches the Rfam family "Bacterial small subunit ribosomal RNA", at positions 524 to 776 of the family's 1533-position model. The record is from RNAcentral.
UACGUAGGGUGCGAGCGUUGUCCGGAAUUAUUGGGCGUAAAGAGCUUGUAGGCGGUCUGUCGCGUCUGCUGUGAAAAUCCGGGGCUCAACCCCGGACUUGCAGUGGGUACGGGCAGACUAGAGUGUGGUAGGGGAGACUGGAAUUCCUGGUGUAGCGGUGAAAUGCGCAGAUAUCAGGAGGAACACCGGUGGCGAAGGCGGGUCUCUGGGCAGUAACUGACGCUGAGGAGCGAAAGCGUGGGGAGCGAACAGG